GAUGAAGAACGCAGUGAAAUGCGAUACGUAAUGUGAAUUGCAGAAUUCAGUGAAUCAUCGAGUCUUUGAACGCACAUUGCGCCCCCUGGUAUUCCGGGGGGCAUGCCUGUCCGAGCGUCAUUGCUGCCCUCAAGCCCGGCUUGGGUGUUGGGUCUCGUCCCCCUUCCCGGGGGGACGGGCCCGAAAGGCAGCGGCGGCACCGUGUCCGGUCUUCGAGCGUAUGGGGCUUUGUCACCCGCUCUGUAGGCCCGGCCGGCGCUUGCCGAUCAACCAAAACUUUUUUCCAGGUUGACCUCGGAUCAGGUAGGGAUACCCGCUGAACUUAAGCAUAUCAAUAAGCGGAGGA
Molecule: unclassified non-coding RNA, 346 nt
Filed under: soil metagenome
Description: partial contains 5.8S ribosomal RNA, internal transcribed spacer 2, and large subunit ribosomal RNA
Rfam family: 5.8S ribosomal RNA (bases 1-120)
Source: RNAcentral